Molecule: ribosomal RNA, 253 nt
Filed under: uncultured bacterium
Lineage: Bacteria
Description: partial 16S ribosomal RNA
Rfam family: Bacterial small subunit ribosomal RNA
Source: RNAcentral
UACAGGGGGGGCAAGCGUUGUUCGGAAUUACUGGGCGUAAAGGGUUCGUAGGUGGCUUGCUAAGUCACACGUGAAAUCCCCAGGCUUAACCUGGGAACUGCGUCGGAUACUGGAUGGCUUGAAUCCGGGAGAGGGAUGCGGAAUUCCAGGUGUAGCGGUGAAAUGCGCAGAUAUCAGGAAGAACACCAAUGGCGAAGGCAGCUCUCUGGGACGGUACUGACGCUGAGACGCGAAAGCGUGGGGAGCGAACAGG